Molecule: ribosomal RNA, 604 nt
Filed under: Pleurotus pulmonarius
Lineage: Eukaryota; Fungi; Basidiomycota; Agaricomycetes; Agaricales; Pleurotaceae
Description: eukaryotic LSU rRNA
Rfam family: 5.8S ribosomal RNA (bases 215-368)
Source: RNAcentral
GUUGCUGGCCUCUAGGGGCAUGUGCACGCUUCACUAGUCUUUCAACCACCUGUGAACUUUUGAUAGAUCUGUGAAGUCGUCCUUCAAGUCGUCAGACUUGGUUUGCUGGGAUUUAAACGUCUCGGUGUGACAACGCAGUCUAUUUACUUAACACACCCCAAAUGUAUGUCUACGAAUGUCAUUUAAUGGGCCUUGUGCCUAUAAACCAUAAUACAACUUUCAACAACGGAUCUCUUGGCUCUCGCAUCGAUGAAGAACGCAGCGAAAUGCGAUAAGUAAUGUGAAUUGCAGAAUUCAGUGAAUCAUCGAAUCUUUGAACGCACCUUGCGCCCCUUGGUAUUCCGAGGGGCAUGCCUGUUUGAGUGUCAUUAAAUUCUCAAACUCACAUUUAUUUGUGAUGUUUGGAUUGUUGGGGGUUGCUGGCUGUAACAAGUCGGCUCCUCUUAAAUGCAUUAGCAGGACUUCUCAUUGCCUCUGCGCAUGAUGUGAUAAUUAUCACUCAUCAAUAGCACGCAUGAAUAGAGUCCAGCUCUCUAAUCGUCCGCAAGGACAAUUUGACAAUUUGACCUCAAAUCAGGUAGGACUACCCGCUGAACUUAAGCAU